This 468-nucleotide ribosomal RNA is filed under the name uncultured bacterium. RNAcentral describes it as "partial 16S ribosomal RNA". It matches the Rfam family "Bacterial small subunit ribosomal RNA", at positions 28 to 507 of the family's 1533-position model. The record is from RNAcentral.
GACGAACGCUGGCGGCGUGCUUAACACAUGCAAGUCGAACGGAAAGGCCCUGCUUUUGUGGGGUGCUCGAGUGGCGAACGGGUGAGUAACACGUGAGUAACCUGCCCUUGUCUUUGGGAUAACUUCAGGAAACUGGGGCUAAUAUCGGAUAGGAGCUCCUGCUGCAUGGUGGGGGUUGGAAAGUUUCGGCGGUUGGGGAUGGACUCGCGGCUUAUCAGCUUGUUGGUGGGGUAGUGGCUUACCAAGGCUUUGACGGGUAGCCGGCCUGAGAGGGUGACCGGCCACAUUGGGACUGAGAUACGGCCCAGACUCCUACGGGAGGCAGCAGUGGGGAAUAUUGCACAAUGGGCGGAAGCCUGAUGCAGCAACGCCGCGUGCGGGAUGACGGCCUUCGGGUUGUAAACCGCUUUCGCCUGUGACGAAGCGUGAGUGACGGUAAUGGGUAAAGAAGCACCGGCUAACUACGUG